RNAcentral lists this long non-coding RNA (1241 nucleotides) under Sus scrofa (pig). RNAcentral describes it as "lncRNA (ENSSSCG00015040744.1)". The record is from RNAcentral. Lineage: Eukaryota; Metazoa; Chordata; Mammalia; Artiodactyla; Suidae.
AUGCAACUUUCCCAUCCCCAGGAUCACAGCUUAAGACUUGGGGCUAGAGAGAUACCCACCCCUGGGCUCAAGCUAAGGAACACAGAGACCUCAGGAGGACACUGCCCCGGGGCCAGUCCAGCUGAAACACCAAGAAGCAGCUUGGAGCCUGGCCAUUCGGGGUAUGAAAAACAUCAGGGGACCAAAGGCAAGGGGAGGAGUCCCAGUGGGUCCAGGACCCGGUUCCAGUUCAGGUUCACUGGAAACAACACAGUGAGCCUGCUUUGUGCUUUAAGUUCCCCAGAAGUGACUCUACAGAAUCAGAAAAUUACUUCUUCCAUCAGGCAUCACCACGUGUCGAGGAAAUAAAACAAAGACGUAGGAUACUUGAAAGCCUCUUGUGAAGCCAACUGUUCGCCGCCACCACCACCACCAGUAAACCUCACGACUGUGUGACCUUGGCCAAGUCAAGACCUCUCUGGGCCUCAGGGUUUCCGUCCAUUGAAUGCGAGAGCUGGUUUAGGUCAUCUGUACUUAUUUCUUUCUGAGUCUAAAGCUGUUCUCUGAUUCUGUGAUUUCAAGCAUAAAUGAGUCUAUCGUGAAGAGGAGCGACCUGGGCAGAUCACAGCUCCAACGACGUCAGCCAGUCUGGAGCUGGGUUUCAAAGGAGCCCAGAAAUGUGAAUUGGUGUUGGGGGGCGGGGGUGACAUUCCAGGUGGAGAGAAUGGCAUGAGCAAGGGCGAGGCAAGGAAGCAGAGGGUGGCAAACAGAUUAGCGAGGCUUAGGAAUGAGGUUGGUGAGGGAGCCUGGGGAGGAAGUCGGGGCAGGAGGAGGAGAAGGGGGCUGUCCUCUGGGCUGAAACCGAAGUGGGGGAGGAAUACGGAUGGGAAGACACUCUCUCAGCUCCAGAGGCUGGUGCCAAAGCCCGUGCAGCCAAACUCCACCCAGGAGAGUGAGAGAGAAAGGUCCCCGUGCCAAGAGGCCCCACCUACAGGGACGGCCCAUUCCUCCCUUCCCUUCUCUCCCAGCCCGGCUCCAGCCUUGAGGUAAGCGAGGGCCUCAAUCCCGAGUCCUCUGCUCACAGGAAGAAAAGGGUGUUUCCAUUUCUUUAAUUUUGUAUCUAUAUGAGUUGAUACAUAUUUACUAAACUUAGUCUGAUAACCCUUUCCUGAUGUAUGUAAAUCAAAUUGUGCUGUACACCUUACACAGUGAUGUAGGUCAAUUAUAUCUCAAUAAAACUGGAGGGGUUCCCUGGUGGUGCA